This 262-nucleotide ribosomal RNA is filed under the name uncultured bacterium. Its description in RNAcentral is "partial 16S ribosomal RNA". It matches the Rfam family "Bacterial small subunit ribosomal RNA", at positions 99 to 353 of the family's 1533-position model. The record is from RNAcentral.
CGAACGGGUGAGUAAUACAUAAGUAACCUGCCCUAGACAGGGGGAUAACUAUUGGAAACGAUAGCUAAGACCGCAUAGGUACGGACACUGCAUGGUGACCGUAUUAAAAGUGCCUCAAAGCACUGGUAGAGGAUGGACUUAUGGCGCAUUAGCUGGUUGGCGGGGUAACGGCCCACCAAGGCGACGAUGCGUAGCCGACCUGAGAGGGUGACCGGCCACACUGGGACUGAGACACGGCCCAGACUCCUACGGGGGCAGCAUG